RNAcentral lists this ribosomal RNA (640 nucleotides) under uncultured Alphaproteobacteria bacterium. Its description in RNAcentral is "bacterial SSU rRNA". It matches the Rfam family "Bacterial small subunit ribosomal RNA", at positions 224 to 881 of the family's 1533-position model. Lineage: Bacteria; Pseudomonadati; Pseudomonadota; Alphaproteobacteria. The record is from RNAcentral.
GAUCGGCCCGCGUCUGAUUAGCUAGUUGGUGGGGUAAUGGCCUACCAAGGCUACGAUCUAUAGCUGGUCUGAGAGGAUGAUCAGCCACACUGGGACUGAGACACGGCCCAGACUCCUACGGGAGGCAGCAGUGGGGAAUCUUGGACAAUGGGCGCAAGCCUGAUCCAGCCAUGCCGCGUGAAUGAUGAAGGCCUUAGGGUUGUAAAAUUCUUUCGUCAGGGACGAUAAUGACGGUACCUGAAGAAAAAGCCCCGGCUAACUUCGUGCCAGCAGCCGCGGUAAUACAAAGGGGGCUAGCGUUGUUCGGAAUUACUGGGCGUAAAGCGCGUGUAGGCGGAUUUGUAAGUUGGGGGUGAAAUCCCGAGGCUCAACCUCGGAACUGCCUCCAAAACUACAAGUCUGGAGCAAGAUAGAGGCGGGUGGAAUUGCGAGUGUAGAGGUGAAAUUCGUAGAUACUCCCAGGAACACCAGUGGCGAAGGCGACUCGCUGGAUCUUUGCUGACGCUGAGACGCGAAAGCGUGGGUAGCAAACAGGAUUAGAUACCCUGGUAGUCCACGCUGUAAACGAUGAAAGCUAGUUGUCGGCACGCAUGCGUGUCGGUGACCCACCUAACCCAUUAAACCUCUCCCCCUGGGGAAU